UAUCAUAGCAAUAAGGAGCCAAACUAAGAU
RNAcentral lists this non-coding RNA (30 nucleotides) under Mus musculus (house mouse). The record is from RNAcentral. Lineage: Eukaryota; Metazoa; Chordata; Mammalia; Rodentia; Muridae.